This is a non-coding RNA of Pelobates cultripes (western spadefoot toad), 241 nucleotides long. The record is from the annotation of a GenBank genome assembly. NCBI's taxonomy places the organism in Eukaryota, Metazoa, Chordata, Amphibia, Anura, Pelobatidae.
AGGCGGUCCACCAACAGCUGAAAGGUAGCCGGGGCGUUUUUCAUCCCAAACGGCAUGACCUUAAAUUGGUACAAGCCGAAUGGGGUGACAAAGGCCGACUUAGGGAUGGCGUCUUGUGCUAAGGGGAUUUGCCAAUACCCCUUACACAAGUCAAUAGUGGUGAGAUAGUGCCCCCUCGCCAUCCGGUCCAGUAGUUCGUCUAUCCUGGGCAUGGGAUAGGCGUCAGAUACCGUCUUCUCAU